CAGCAGCCACGGUAACACCAGCAGCCCAAGUGGUGGUCGCGUUUAUUGGGCCUAAAGCGCUCGUAGCCUGGCCGGUAAGUUCCCCGUGAAAUCGGGUCGCCCAACGAUUCGGCUUGCGGGGAAUACUGUCGGUCUUGGGGCCGGGAGACGCCGAGGGUACUCCGGGGGUAGCGGUGAAAUGCUGUAAUCCUCGGGGGACUACCAGUGGCGAAGGCGCUCGGCGAUAACGGGCCUGACGGUGAGGGGCGAAAGCUGGGGGCGCGAACGGGAUUAGAUACCCCCGUAGUCCCUGUCUCUUAUU
This 301-nucleotide ribosomal RNA is filed under the name uncultured bacterium. Its description in RNAcentral is "partial 16S ribosomal RNA". It matches the Rfam family "Archaeal small subunit ribosomal RNA", at positions 459 to 759 of the family's 1478-position model. The record is from RNAcentral.